RNAcentral lists this long non-coding RNA (1130 nucleotides) under Homo sapiens (human). Its description in RNAcentral is "long intergenic non-protein coding RNA 1643". Lineage: Eukaryota; Metazoa; Chordata; Mammalia; Primates; Hominidae. The record is from RNAcentral.
AGAGAACAAACUACCAAUUAACGAGCGAGGAAACAGGGCCAGAGAAUUGGAACAAAAUACAAGGCUGCCUCUGAAAGGAAUAUCUUUGUGCUGAUGUGUCCAUCAAGAGAACAUACACAGAAGUGACACUUGCCAGUAAUUUGCAAGCAGAUGGAACUUCAAUAUGGCAAUAGAGAAAGAAUCAAUUAGACCAGAGUCUCCUCAGGAAGACUUUCUAUAGCGUAAUUAUCUCUCCAAUUAAAGAGCAACCAAGGGACAACUGAACUGGAGGUUCUGCAGAAUUACAACUAAGCACGCAGCCGAGGAAUCUACUCAGCUUUGAUCUCUUAUCGCUCUGCACACACAGCCCUUUCUCUGUAAGGCUAGCUGCUCUCAGCAUCACUGUGUCUAAUCAAACGUGUCACACCUCCACUGAGAAAAUAUUUACUGGAUAGCUACUAGACAUAAGGAUGCAGAAAUGAAUUAGAAAAAUUCCUCGCCCUUGUUCAAAGCUAUGCUGGCUCUUAGAACAUCUGAGCCCCCACUGUUUCAUCUUUAGAGGAUCCCAGCUGCUGGGGUGUGAGGCCAGUGCUGGAGCCAGCAGUCUCUGACCCAGAAGGGACCUGAGGUGCUAAAGAAAAGGGUACAAGCUGGAAAAGGGGAAAAUGAAUCAUGCUACAGGCCAAGUGUCCAUCACUGAUUCCCAGAGAUGCCCUUUGUGUGGUAGGCACUUCCAUGUGGACUCGCUACAGAGUUUGGAGUUCCUGAACAACAUGGACAGUGUUAAUUUGGAUUCCAUGCUUCAUGGCACAGAAUUGGAGCACUAACUACUCAGUGAUGACUUUCUCUUCCUCUAGCUAAGGUCAUAAGACCCUAAUUCCAGAGGGCCCUACCCUAUAACCAGAAGGAAGAACUAUUGCACAGAGAAUCUAAGAAGAAUCUAGACAGACAGCCCUUGCUGGAUUUCUCCACUCUGUUAGCAUUCGAUCAUUUGCCUUUUGUCCAGUCAUAUUUCUGCAUGGCUGUCCAUACUUUGUUGAACCUAAGCACAAAAUGGAAAGUUUUCCCUGUAUCUUUGGGUCGUCAUUCUGAAGGCUCCCAUGUUAUGUAAAACUAUGAUCAAAUAAAUAUGCAUGCCUUUUCUCCUAUAA